RNAcentral lists this ribosomal RNA (498 nucleotides) under uncultured bacterium. RNAcentral's name for it is "partial 16S ribosomal RNA". It matches the Rfam family "Bacterial small subunit ribosomal RNA", at positions 29 to 523 of the family's 1533-position model. The record is from RNAcentral.
AUUGAACGCUGGCGGCAUGCCUUACACAUGCAAGUCGAACGGUAACGCGGGGCAACCUGGCGACGAGUGGCGAACGGGUGAGUAAUGCAUCGGAACGUGCCCAGAAGUGGGGGAUAGCCCGGCGAAAGCCGGAUUAAUACGGCAUACGACCUACGGGGGAACGGGGGGGAGCGCAAGACCUCUCGCUAUUGGAGCGGCCGAAGUCAGAUUAGCUAGUUGGUGGGGUAAAAGCCUACAAAGGCGACGAUCUGUAGCUGGUCUGAGAGGACGACCAGCCACACUGGGACUGAGACACGGCCCAGACUCCUACGGGAGGCAGCAGUGGGGAAUUUUGGACAAUGGGCGAAAGCCUGAUCCAGCCAUGCCGCGUGCGGGAAGAAGGCCUUCGGGUUGUAAACCGCUUUGGUCAGGGAAGAAAUCUUCUGAGUUAAUACCUCGGGAGGAUGACGGUACCUGAAGAAUAAGCACCGGCUAACUACGUGCCAGCCGCCGCCGUAA